Molecule: long non-coding RNA, 551 nt
Organism: Physeter macrocephalus (sperm whale)
Lineage: Eukaryota; Metazoa; Chordata; Mammalia; Artiodactyla; Physeteridae
Exons: 3
Source: RefSeq, a predicted model, not a curated record
GUUUGGCAUGGCCAGGCGGUCAACUUUGAAGCGGGGCAUUUCUUGCAAGUAGAGAUCUGCCCAGGACGCAGCCUAUCCCAUCCAGCAAAACCACAAGCAUCAACAGCAGCAGAGGAGCAAAGACCCGGGCGGAGACAGGGGGAGCGCGAGGGCAAGACGCGGUCACGAACAGAUGCCUGAAUGUGGGUAAGAAAAUAACCUAACCACACGCCCCCCGGACGUGGGGCUGCUGGGACUGCGAACCCGGCAGCAGGCACGGCGCAGCAGCGGAGGCGGCGGCGAUGUCAGGAGGGCACAGCUGGAAACGAGCUCCCAGUCACCAACCCCGCCCCCAGGAAUGAACGAAGAAGUCAUUAAGGAAGACAUAGAGACAUGGUAUUUCAACUGGGACUUGAAGGAUGGCAGAAUUUUGAAAGAGAGAGAAUAGAAUAAGAAAGUUUUCCAGGCAGAAGGCAUGUCAUGAACAAAGACAUGGAGGAUGAAAAAUCAGAGUGCAGGAGUAUGAAGAUGUCCUGAAGGUGAAGCUGAAUGAGAAGUGCAUAUGUUCAGGA